GACGAACCGUGCGAACGUUGUUCGGAAUCACUGGGCUUAAAGGGCGCGUAGGCGGCUUGCCAAGUCAGGGGUGAAAUCUUUCGGCUUAACCGGAAAAGUGCCUUUGAUACUGGCAGGCUAGAGGGAGGUAGGGGCAUGCGGAACUUCCGGUGUAGCGGUGGAAUGCGUAGAGAUCCGGAAGAACACCGGUGGCGAAGGCGGCCUGCUGGGCGGCGACUGACGCUGAGGCGCGACAGCGUGGGGAGCAAACAGG
Molecule: ribosomal RNA, 253 nt
Filed under: uncultured bacterium
Lineage: Bacteria
Description: partial 16S ribosomal RNA
Rfam family: Bacterial small subunit ribosomal RNA
Source: RNAcentral